ACUAUCUUCUCCACCGUUUCUAUACUCUUCCUCAUUUCUUUUUCCCUUUGUCACCAUUUCCUCUCUUGAUUCUUGCUCCUCCAACUUUGGCGCCUCCCAACAACUACUGGAACCAUGCCGCUCUUUACAACCUAUCAUCUUCCCCAUUCUCCCAAUCUUUCAUCUUCCCCGUUUUCCCUUUUCUCUCAUCUUCAUUCACAACUAACACCGCCAUCUCCACUAUCCUGUCGACUUCUACCAAUGACAGCAAUCCAAUACCCACUGACUCUACUUCCUUUUUCGAUUAUACCAUAAACACCGACUUCUUGAAGCGGGGAUUGUUGGUCGGUGGGUCGAUGGAUUUGGGAGUGUCGGAUGAUUCUCCAUCUGUUUAUAACUUCUUCCAUAACUUUGAUUUUUUUUAAUUAAAGGCAACAACGUGGGUCAAUUUUGGGGACCAUGAUGAACUUCGGUAUUCUCCUUCGUUGGAUUUCAACCAGGAUCAAAAACUUUAGGUUCAAUCUAACUAUUUGAGCAUUUGUUGCAAAAUGUGCAAAUAUUCAAAUUCAUUAAAAACUCCUUAGUCCUAACCCAUACGAAGGUAGCUGUUGUUAAUCAGGACACUGAGUGUGGUGGUGAUUAUAUCAAACUUAUGUCUGGAUACGUUCUCAACUGAUAUGCCUUCUCUACAACAAAGGAUAAAAGGAUUUCAAGAGAAAUUGGAGGUGUCUUUUAAGGAAAUUCAAUCUUCGACCUUUCAGGGGAUCAAAUUCAUUUCUGAAAUGUAUUUCAAAAAGCAAUGAAACAAUAACCCUAAAAUGGUACAUGGCACAAAACCAUCUGAAUGGGGAACUGCCAAAGCUUAUAUACCGGAAUAAAUUUUUAGAAAAUUUAGGAUUGAGAGGCAACAAUUUGGUUGGAAAUCUGUUGCAAGAUAUCUGUCAACUAACUGACACAAUUCCUUCAAAUAAUGACAAUUAUCCUUGCUUGCAAGUAUUGAACCAAAAAUAGAAAACGAAGUUGUUGAGCUCUUAUGCGGAAGAGAUUUUUCAUCAGAUGAACCAUUUCUUAUAUCUUGGUGGCAUACCGGUAAAACAUACAAAAUGGAGAGAGAGAUGAGAAAUAAGGGUGAAGACUUUACCUGCUAAGGCAGAGGAUGAAAUGCUCAUGUUGAUGGGUUGCAGAAAAAUUUAAAGGGUUAAGUUAUGUCUCCAUGUAUAUCCAAGGCUGAGAAAGAAUUUGUAGCAUUAGAAAACUGUGUGGGGAAUUCUCCUGUCUCCAUGUAUAUCCACAUUGGAGGACAAUUUCCAAAUAAACUCAAUGGGUGUGCGACGGACUUCGUGAGGCCGACGCUAACCAUCACCAAGGUGGUUGAAGCUAACUCUUACCCAAAUUGCCUUCUCAAGAAGCUACAUAGGAUGCCAUCUGUACCAAUGCAGAAAACAACACAUUUUCAAGGGAAAGAUGAUAUAGGUGUGAUACCUGGUGAUUGUCUAGGCUGUGGAAAAUAUCGUGUAUGGGGAAAACCUUAAGUUCUUGGUCUUAGAACCAGAUUGAAAAUGUUAUUUUCUGUCGACAGCCAAAAACACCCAAACCAACAUGUGAGUUUACCAUCCUUUUUCCAAUUUGACAAACCUACUUCCAACUUUCUAACAAAUUUUGAGCAGAUAUUGGUGAUCCGCUUUUAGCUUUUUCAAUAGGCACGUCUUAAUUGGUUGUAAUAAAAUUAAAUGUGCGUGCCCACUAAAGGAUCCAGGCACCAAAAACGUAAUUUUUAGAAGGUGAUCUUGGAAAUGUUCGAUCUGGGGAACAUAAGUAGUUUUAUUGUGUUAAAGUUUUUGUCCUAAUUGACACCAUGUACUUUUUUUUGGUGAAAAAUAGUGAUUUUAACA
This is a long non-coding RNA of Lactuca sativa (garden lettuce), 1871 nucleotides long. RefSeq lists it as uncharacterized. The record is from RefSeq and is a predicted model, not a curated record. Lineage: Eukaryota; Viridiplantae; Streptophyta; Magnoliopsida; Asterales; Asteraceae.